GUAUUUCCCCUAGCAAGCAUCAGUGACAGCCAGCACCAUGACGGGGUUGUCGUCAGUGUGAUGCUGCCUCAUUGACGAGUGGACUGUUGGCGGAGCAAGUCGCCAUCACCGUGAGAUUCCGUAUUAUGCCAAGUGAUUCUACUGCAGUUUGCUAAGAUGGCUGGGAACGGAUUGUUCCAGUAGAAUCACUUGGCAUAAAAACAGUGAGAAAAAACAAAUCGUUUUGGUGUGUGAAGUAUGUGGUGGUGCUGCAAACACAGUGAAGUGGGUGUUGCAAUUCUGCGGUUCCUGACGAAAGCUAGAGCGCGGAAAGUUUUUGUUUUUCCAACCGCGUUCUGUUUUAGCCUUGGUUCUAGCACAAACACAUGAACAAAGGCGUGGUGACGUGGUUGAUUUUUGUUGUCGACUGGUAGCACGCUGUGGGUAGGUGGUCGGUCGAUGAUUGCAUGCAUGUUUCUUCAUGUUCUUGCUCGGCAUGGAUGGUCGCGCUUUCGUUGAUUCCUCGGAUCGUACAUGCUCGUGUUGUCGCUCGGUUGAACGGUAAAUGCAAACAGGUUGAUGUGCAUGAUGGUAGAGGUGUUUGACUAUUGUGAAUGUUGCCGUAAAAUACUCGCGGCAUUGGUUGGUUGGGUUGGUUUUUUGCUCGGGUUUUUUGGUUGAGCAAAUUAAUGGCGUGUCGAACCGCCGAAAAUUAUUCUGCAUAAAGAAAAUGCAGGGACGUGUAGUGAAAACCGUCCAAGGUAAAGGCGUUGUUGGAUAACCGCCGAAAAUUUUUCUGCAUAAGGAAAAUGCAGGGACGUGUAAUGAAAACCGUCCAAGGAAACGGCAUUUUUGGAUAACCACCGAAAAUUAUUCUGCAUAAAGAAAAUGCAGCGAUGUGUAAAGGAACCCGUCUAAGGAAAUGGCGUUGCAUGAAAACUGCCGAAUGCUGUGCGUGAGGAAAAUGCAGGGACGUGUAAUGAAAACCGCCCAUAAAAAUUGCAUAUCGUAAAACAGUUUAAAAUUCGAAGUACGCAAUGAAAACAUAUCUACUGAAAAUAUGUUGUAGAACCUCUUUCGAACUCGUUUUGUAGAAUAUAUUUUCGUAUAAUGAAGGACAUUUGUGUGUUAUAUAUGGUCCAUCUGUACCAUCACAUUGAAGCAUUGAAAGUGGAGUUGUAUGAUAUACGGAAUCUUUAGUCUGAUAAAUCUCAAAUUCGUUAAUCUUGUUUUUUGUAAUGUUUUUUUUUUUGCAAUCGUGAAUAACGAUUGAUUUGAGUGGGAGAAAAACAGGGCCGGCUACAUAACGAGACGUGCGCUUGAAGGAGAGAAGACGCAUCACCCAACUGCGUGUGUUGUAGUUAUUUUUAUUGGAGCUCGGCAAAACCCCAUAGAUGAUCGGUUAGCAUUGCAAGUUAUCAAUCAAAUGAUAUAGGUUCGAUAUUAACAAAAGUGCGUUUACUAAACAAAAAAGUAAAUGUGGCCAUUCGUCUUAAUUCUUGUAUCUUGAAGUGUAUCUUGUUGCAUUGGUGCCAUAAGGAUGAAGAGAACGAAAUUGAGGG
Aedes albopictus (Asian tiger mosquito) is the source of this 1541-nucleotide long non-coding RNA. RefSeq lists it as uncharacterized. The transcript has 2 exons. NCBI's taxonomy places the organism in Eukaryota, Metazoa, Arthropoda, Insecta, Diptera, Culicidae. The record is from RefSeq and is a predicted model, not a curated record.